This is a long non-coding RNA of Xiphophorus couchianus (Monterrey platyfish), 818 nucleotides long. RefSeq lists it as uncharacterized. The record is from RefSeq and is a predicted model, not a curated record. Lineage: Eukaryota; Metazoa; Chordata; Actinopteri; Cyprinodontiformes; Poeciliidae. The transcript has 3 exons.
CUUGACCAAGGACAGGCUGGAGCCACUUAUUUGUUUAGCCCUGGAGUGGAGUCACUAAGGCGUACAGGAGCUACGGGCUGGUGAACACCAACCUCUCCACCUCAUGCGGGGGAGUCACUCUCACGGGGAAACAAUGCAAACCGAACUCAAAAGCAUCCCAGCAGUUUGUUUGUUACACUGAAAAGAAAUUACUCUGCAGCUAAAACUCGGUUCUGUUGGUUCGUUCAAGGAUUUGCAGCAGAACUGUGGAUUCAGCAGAAUAUCCAACAAUACAGAAGUGUGAAGCUUCCUGUCUUGUCAGGCAUUGUGGGAGAAAUCCCUCCUCCUUAAGUGCUUCCAUGUUUGCUUUUGUGCCAAGCGAGCCCAUUCUGCUGACCUUUAAGAGACGCUCCGUCUUCCUGUGACAGCGGCAGGACAAAAAACGACAAGCUAAUUAAACUGGGCUGCAGGGGAAAAAACAAAUGAAAGCACCUAAAAAGGAAGUUAAAACUCCGUUUUGAGGAUGUUAUCGGUGGUCUACGCAGACUUCCUGCCGGCCGAACAGAUAACCCACCCCCCAAACUCUGGUGCUGCUGGUUCAUUUCUGCUGGUCACGGCGUGUUGGAUUUCCGCCAGGGAGAGGCGAACGUGCGGUGGGAAUGGUGGCGGCGAGGUUUCAUGAAUGCGAAGAGACUCGCAGUCCCCUCCGGGAACCAUAAUGACCAAAAUGCACAGAAGAAAUUGUUUUGUAGCAAGUCGUCACGCAAGCAUGUAACCCAACAGUGCAAUCAUGAUGUUUGUACCUGCAGGUAAACAAAUAAAGUCUUCAUGAACUCCAA